RNAcentral lists this ribosomal RNA (410 nucleotides) under Amazonian soil bacterium P35. Its description in RNAcentral is "partial 16S ribosomal RNA". The record is from RNAcentral.
ACUUCGGGUGUUACAAACUCUCGUGGUGUGACGGGCGGUGUGUACAANGCCCGGGNAACGUAUUCACCGCGGCAUGCUGAUCCGCGAUUACUAGCGAUUCCAGCUUCAUGUAGGCGAGUUGCAGCCUACAAUCCGAACUGAGAACGGUUUUAUGAGAUUAGCUCCACCUCGCGGUCUUGCAGCUCUUUGUACCGUCCAUUGUAGCACGUGUGUAGCCCAGGUCAUAAGGGGCAUGAUGAUUUGACGUCAUCCCCACCUUCCUCCGGUUUGUCACCGGCAGUCACCUUAGAGUGCCCAACUUAAUGAUGGCAACUAAGAUCAANGGUUGCGCUCGUUGCGGGACUUAACCCAACAUCUCACGACACGGAGCUGACGACAACCAUGCACCACCUGUCACUCUGCUCCCCGAA